RNAcentral lists this ribosomal RNA (497 nucleotides) under uncultured bacterium. RNAcentral's name for it is "partial 16S ribosomal RNA". It matches the Rfam family "Bacterial small subunit ribosomal RNA", at positions 28 to 507 of the family's 1533-position model. The record is from RNAcentral.
GAUGAACGCUGGCGGCGUGCCUAAUACAUGCAAGUCGGGCGAACGGACGAGAAGCUUGCUUCUCUGAUGUUAGCGGCGGACGGGUGAGUAACACGUGGAUAACCUACCUAUAAGACUGGGAUAACUUCGGGAAACCGGAGCUAAUACCGGAUAAUAUUUUGAACCGCAUGGUUCAAAAGUGAAAGACGGUCUUGCUGUCACUUAUAGAUGGAUCCGCGCUGCAUUAGCUAGUUGGUAAGGUAACGGCUUACCAAGGCAACGAUGCAUAGCCGACCUGAGAGGGUGAUCGGCCACACUGGAACUGAGACACGGUCCAGACUCCUACGGGAGGCAGCAGUAGGGAAUCUUCCGCAAUGGGCGAAAGCCUUACGGAGCAACGCCGCGUGAGUGAUGAAGGUCUUCGGAUCGUAAAACUCUGUUAUUAGUGAAGAACAUAUGUGUAAGUAACUGUGCACAUCUUGACGGUACCUAAUCAGAAAGCCACGGCUAACUACGUG